ACCUGUGAUGGAGAAGGUCAUCAAGAGGACGUGACCGCAGGUUAACCCUUGCGCUGAAAUUGGCAAUCAGAGGCUCCUCCCCCUCUCUCCCAUCCCCAGAAUGCCUUUUCUGACCUUGCUUUUCUUUGCGGGAGCCGCUUGGAGACUGCAAACUUAAGAGCUUAAUGUGCUAUUGAAAGAAACUCUCUGGAAGCCCUUUGUGAAGAGGAGCCAGUUUCGGGUUUCACCAUGGAAUUCUUGAAGCUUCGAGCUAAAAAGAGGCUUUCCUGCAUCCUGAUGUGCUUUAUUAAAGUUAAACCAAUGGAAAAUGAGCAGAAAACCAAGUGAUCUUUGC
This is a non-coding RNA of Sus scrofa (pig), 334 nucleotides long. Lineage: Eukaryota; Metazoa; Chordata; Mammalia; Artiodactyla; Suidae. The record is from RefSeq and is a predicted model, not a curated record.